CAAAGUCAUAGAAUAGGAGCCUUUAAAUUGUAUUGUUCAUUAAGAUAUAACAGAUUGUCUGGUUGUUAAGUGAUGACGUAUGAACCCUGCUUCCGGGUCUGCGUUUAUUAAGGCUGUUGUAUUUUUAACAUGUUUAAAUGUUUGUAUCUUGUUCUCUUUAAUCUGAACCCCCUAAAAAACCCCAGCAGUGAUCACUGUCAGCCUCUCUUGGUUUUUAUUACCACUAUUCAUAGGCAGCAUGUUUUAAAGUCAGUUUUUAAAACCUUACAGCGUAACUACAGCCCAGCCCAUGCAGCAGCAUAUUAAUGAUCGACCUUGUAUUGUGACAAUGCGACAUAAGAAGACCUUUUACAAAUAUUUGCAAAUUGUAAAUUUUCCAUGUGGGAGACGGAGGAGUGAAUAUUACUUUAAGGUUCUUUACAGUUCCCAUAAAGAGGUGGGGCAUUGUAAAGGGAAAGCAUGUUAAGAGUUCUAAUUAUGUCAGUUAUUUUGUAGACACUGACGAUCCUCUAUUUCUACUAACAUAUCUGAACUUUUAAUUUUUCAGUCAAACAGUCAGUGACCUUUCCAUUUCUUGCAAUUGAGGUAAAACGAUUUGUAGUAUCAAACAUUUCUGUUGAAAAGCAUUUAAAAAUGACUUCCUUGUGAUUGUAUAUGACCACCAACCAAUCAAACUACAUUUUGCACCAUAUCUACUGUUCAACUCAUAUCUAAUCAGCCAAUCAGCCAAAGGAGAUUUAAGGGACUUUGAAUGUGGUGUGGUUGUUGGUGCCAGUUGAGCUGGUCUGAAUAUUUCAUAAAUGGCUGAUUUACUUGAAUUUUCCCACACUUUAGAGUCUCUAGGGUUUACAGAGAAGGGUCUGAUAAAGAGGAAAUAUCCAGUGAGUGGCUGUUCUCUGGGAGAAAAUACUUUGUGAAGGCCAGAGGAAAAUAGACUGAUUUGAGCUGAUAGAAAUCGAACAGUUAUUCAGAUAACCACUGCAAAACCACUUAAUGUCACUCGUGUCAGUUACAAAAAUUAACAUUAGGCUGAAAUUUGUUCUAACUCACCAAAAUGAGACAAUAGAGGAUUUGAAAAAUGUUGCUUGGUGUGAUGUGUUUAGCUGCGACAUUUAGAUGGUAGGUUCAGGAUUUGAUGUAAACAACAUGACAUCCUAGAUCCAUUCUCCCAUGUAUUAAAAACUCAAGCGUAGGUGUUGAUUACCUGGAUCUUGUGCUUUCCAUUCAGCUGACUCCUCAGGACUUGUCUUACCCUCUGCAGGUAAGGCAGGUCAUCUUGGUUCCCACUUGCCUGUGGGAUUCCUAGGUAUCUGUAGCUGUCCUCGAUGUCUGUAAUGUUACCGUCUGGUAGUACAAUCACCUCAGUUCUGACUACCUUCCCUCUCUUCGUUACCAUCCCACUACACCUCUCCAGUCCGAUUGACAUUCCGAUGUUGACGCUGUAGAUCAGGGGUGGAGAACUCCAGGGCUCGAGGGCCGGUGUCCUGCAGGUUUUAGAUAUCACCCUGGGUCAUGUCGUGAAAAUUUCAAGUAACCUGCAAAGACUCAGUGAGUGUUUUUUGAAGUGGAGUUUAUUAUAUACAUUUCUUAUUUCUUAUAUACAAACUGGUAAAAUUCAGAGACAAAGAGAAUUCCAGAGCACAUCACGUCACUCUAUACCUGCCAGUUCAGCUCAUCCUUGAAACCUUCCCUUCAGAGAGAAUUACAACCAGCUAUCACCUCCCUUUUCCCCCCAGAAAUGAGCAACAGGUCCCCCCGCACACAGGUGCCUGGAUGUCUCUGGCCGAUUACAAUGGCCCCACUGUGAAGGUGUGAUAAAGCAUAAAGACACAUUUGUGAUGUAAUCCUAUAUGUAUAUAACUAAAUGACAAAAAGUGAUAUUACUAUUACAAAAGUGAUCAAUACAUAAAAUAAAGAAAUUUCCCAUCACUGUCAACACACCUGAAUCAAAUGAUUAGUUCAUUACCAGGCCUCUGGAGACUUCAAGACAUGUUGAGGAGGUCAUUUAGCCAUUUAAAUCAGCUGUUUUCAAUCAAGGGCAUGUCUAAAUCCUGCAGGACACCGGCCCUCGAGGCCUGGAGUUCCCCCACCCCGCUGUAGAUCCUUCACUGCAGCCUGAGUAAAAGAAAGUUGUGCAGAAAGUGAAGAUUGGGACUCCGCAUGCAUUAUCAGUGCAUGUACUUAUUUGUAAAAUAAUGAGUGGUUUGUUUGAGUUUGUUUUAUCAGAUAUAUUGAGUCCCUUAAACUGUUGUCUUAUGGUACAGAAAAACCCCAAUCUAUUAACCACCUUUGGGUUGAGGAUCAUUUUUCCCAGUUUCUUAGAAUUUGUUUGAAUAUGCAGAUGAGAAUGUGGCUUGAAGAAGGGUCAUUGGACCGAUCACUUCAGACACGUCAUCAUCAGGUCUACAGUACAGUCAGCAUGAAGACUCUCAGCCUGACGGUGGGACUGCUGCUCGUGCUGUUCACCGUUUACCACAGCGAUGCCUGUAAGUCUGCCACUUGGACUUGUGUUAGAUCAGUUUUUGAAUUUCUGUCUUUCUCUUCAUUCAGACACAGAGUGAGACAGGGGGAGGAUAUCAAACUCAUAUAAGUUCAUGGUCAUGAAGACCAAUGCUGAUCUCAGAUCCCGUGGACCCGUCCCUGUUUUCCCGGUGAAGAUCCUUAGUUGUGGAUGACUGGAGAGUGGCUGGUAGAGAGCAGUGAGUGGGCGAAGAAGCGCAAGUGUUUUCCCUUGUCCUCCCCACCUUGGAUUCCCUGGAGCCCGGACCCCUGUCACACUUGUAUAUAGCAAAAUUCCCUGCACUGUCUGUAAAUACACCUGUGAAUGUGAAAUAAACCUCACUGUGUC
This is a long non-coding RNA of Oreochromis aureus, 2848 nucleotides long. NCBI's taxonomy places the organism in Eukaryota, Metazoa, Chordata, Actinopteri, Cichliformes, Cichlidae. The record is from Ensembl.